Molecule: non-coding RNA, 100 nt
Organism: Ornithorhynchus anatinus (platypus)
Lineage: Eukaryota; Metazoa; Chordata; Mammalia; Monotremata; Ornithorhynchidae
Product: microRNA mir-1421g-2
Exons: 1
Source: RefSeq, marked provisional
GGUGACGUACGGCACGGUGCGAGGGGGUCGUACGUCAUGCAGAGUGAUGGCGGAAUAUGCUGCAUGCGUGCGACCUCCUUACACAGCACUGGGUGUCUCC